RNAcentral lists this ribosomal RNA (472 nucleotides) under uncultured bacterium. RNAcentral describes it as "bacterial SSU rRNA". It matches the Rfam family "Bacterial small subunit ribosomal RNA", at positions 80 to 587 of the family's 1533-position model. The record is from RNAcentral.
UCGGUCUGGUGGAAACUGGCGCACGGGUGAGUAACGCGUGGGGAUAUGCCCAAGGGUACGGAAUAACCGCUGGAAACGGCGGCUAAUACCGUAUGUUCCCUGAGGGGGAAAGCUUCGGCGCCCUUGGAUUAUCCCGCGUCCGAUUAGCUUGUUGGUGAGGUAACGGCUCACCAAGGCGACGAUCGGUAGCUGGUCUGAGAGGACGAUCAGUCACACUGGGACUGAGACACGGCCCAGACUCCUACGGGAGGCAGCAGUGGGGAAUAUUGGACAAUGGGGGCAACCCUGAUCCAGCCAUGCCGCGUGAGUGAAGAAGGCCCUAGGGUUGUAAAGCUCUUUCAGCGGGGAAGAUGAUGACGGUACCCGCAGAAGAAGCCCCGGCUAACUCCGUGCCAGCAGCCGCGGUAAUACGGAGGGGGCUAGCGUUGCUCGGAAUUACUGGGCGUAAAGGGCGCGUAGGCGGAUUUUUUAG